AGCUCCAGUAGCGUAUAUUAAAGUUGUUGCAGCUAAAAAGCUCGUAGUUGGAUCUCGGGUCGUCGGUAGGGGUUCAGGUUCAUGCCUGCUUACUCCUGUCGAUACCUAACUGGUGGGACGCUGUGGGUGCCCUUGACUGGGUCGCCUACUGCACCCGCUCAAUUUACUUUGAAAAAAUUAGAGUGUUCAAGGCAGGCUCACACGCCUGUAUAAUGGUGCAUGGAAUAAUGGAAUAGGAUCUCGGUUCUAUUUUGUUGGUUUUCGGAACUAGAGAUAAUGAUUAAGAGGGACAGACGGGGGCAUUCGUAUUGCGGUGUUAGAGGUGAAAUUCUUGGAUCGCCGCAAGACGAACUACUGCGAAAGCAUUUGCCAAGAAUGUUUUCA
RNAcentral lists this ribosomal RNA (384 nucleotides) under marine Metazoa environmental sample. RNAcentral's name for it is "SSU rRNA". It matches the Rfam family "Eukaryotic small subunit ribosomal RNA", at positions 587 to 972 of the family's 1831-position model. Lineage: Eukaryota; Metazoa. The record is from RNAcentral.